Molecule: non-coding RNA, 109 nt
Organism: Acanthosepion pharaonis
Lineage: Eukaryota; Metazoa; Mollusca; Cephalopoda; Sepiida; Sepiidae
Source: the annotation of a GenBank genome assembly
UUACGGUCAUAUCACAUCGAAAACCGGUUUCCGUUUCGAUUGCUGAAGUUAAGCAACGUCAAUCAUGGUCAGUACCUAGAUGGGUGACCACCUGCGAAUACCAGGUGCU